Molecule: ribosomal RNA, 465 nt
Filed under: uncultured Klebsiella sp.
Lineage: Bacteria; Pseudomonadati; Pseudomonadota; Gammaproteobacteria; Enterobacterales; Enterobacteriaceae
Description: bacterial SSU rRNA
Rfam family: Bacterial small subunit ribosomal RNA
Source: RNAcentral
CCUACGGGGGGCUGCAGUGGGGAAUAUUGCACAAUGGGCGCAAGCCUGAUGCAGCCAUGCCGCGUGUGUGAAGAAGGCCUUCGGGUUGUAAAGCACUUUCAGCGGGGAGGAAGGCGGUGAGGUUAAUAACCUCAUCGAUUGACGUUACCCGCAGAAGAAGCACCGGCUAACUCCGUGUCAGCAGCCGCGGUAAUACGGAGGGUGCAAGCGUUAAUCGGAAUUACUGGGCGUAAAGCGCACGCAGGCGGUCUGUCAAGUCGGAUGUGAAAUCCCCGGGCUCAACCUGGGAACUGCAUUCGAAACUGGCAGGCUAGAGUCUUGUAGAGGGGGGUAGAAUUCCAGGUGUAGCGGUGAAAUGCGUAGAGAUCUGGAGGAAUACCGGUGGCGAAGGCGGCCCCCUGGACAAAGACUGACGCUCAGGUGCGAAAGCGUGGGGAGCAAACAGGAUUAGAUACCCCUGUAGUC